CAGGCUCGAUUUUACUUAACUUGACGAAAGAAAUUUUAAUCUUUUAGUUUCGAUCCUGUUUGAUCACCGAAAGCUCUACCGAACUAUAAUCUCUAGCAGAUAGCAGUCGGAUUUUAUUUUUCACCUUUCGGGUGUCAGAAUGACAUGAAACUUUAAAUCUAACCUCAUAAAAAUAAUUCUAACACAUUCUCCAGUUUUCAUAAUUUUCUGACACUGUGCAUUUUCUGCUAAAAUAUCAGUCCCGUUUCUCACAAAAAAUUUUAAAUCUUCUGUUUUCAUUCCGAUUUCAGCACAAGUCACUCUGGCUUAUAUUUUACUUCUCUAAAUCCAAUAAAAAUAGCAUCUCACACUAUUUUUAUUUAUUUUUACUUUUAUAUCAAAAUCCGAACAACACCUCCUCUGUCCGCCCAAGACUCCAACAACAAGUAUAAUUAAGCAAUCAAAUAAUGAGAUUUACAAUUAUACAAGGCUUGCACGAGGGCAAGCAACAUCAACUACACGUGAAAGCAAUCUAACUAUUACAUUCAUAUAUUGUAACUUGAUCACUUUCAAUCAAAUACAAAGCUUGUACAUUUACUUUACAUCAUUCAACCAUUUUACAUAAUCAUCUCUCAAAUGAAUUAAUUACACUUCCUAUACAUUUUACAUUCAUCGACAUAAUAGAUGAAAUAUACAUAGGGUGGUUCUAUACACAUCGGUAGUCUGCUACCUAAAGCACGAUAACCAUGCCACGAGCCACGAUCGCCCCGCUCGCAUUAGAACCUGCAUGGUUAGUGGGAUGAGAACUACAACAAAAUUUUCAGUGGGUUCGGCCGCCGACCUCGCCGACUUACCCACUAGGUCUAUUCAGGCAUAAAUAUUUCAAGAAAGAAAGAUAGCAAACCAACUAAUGCUACUACUAAUACAAUGCCUGCAAAAAAACUGGUCAAUAAACAGAUAAUCAUAUGUAUGAUAAAUAUGCAUGCUUUUCCAUAUUCACUUUGGCCUUUACCCAAUCAUUCCGGUUAACCCUGUUAACCUCAAUAACUCACAACCCAAAAUCCCUUAAUAACGGGGGACUCGAAUCACCCUAGGGACCGUCUUCUGGGGGGACUUUACCUCGUCCAGUGGUGACCAACUCCGGAGCGCACCGCUCGAGUGAGAGCUACCUCCCUCAAGCCAAGACUCAAUGUGAGUAUCGAUCCAAUCCUCCACUUGAGAACGUAUAGCCACUAGCCACUAUGCCACUACAUUGAUGAUAGGUUUCUACCUUAUCAUAUAUGCCACUCUCUAGGCUACACUUGCCAUAUUGCCACAAUGCCACAAUGUAAUAACAUGUUUCUACCUUAUCAUAUAUGCCACUCUCUAGGCUACACUUGCUAUAAUGCCACAAUUGGUUAAACCUUGUUUAACAAUUCAUUUCUCGAUAUUAAUCUCAUUUCUAAUGUCAAUGUCACCUUUGUUUACUAUUAUCAUAGUCCAUAUGUCACAUUCACACACAAGUACAGAGUUCCAACAUACAUGUCCCUUAUGGUUCUAUAUCAAUCACUAUGUUCAUCUACGUUAGAAGCAUAAUAUUGAAUUUCAACCAUUAUUCACAUGCCAAUUACCCUAUAUGCAUGAAUGACACUAUUCACAUAUAUGCUCAACAAAAAGGCAACAUAGACAUAGAAGGGAAUCCAACGAUUCCGGAAAGCACCCCCUACCUUGUAGGAAUGCCAAUAAGCUACGGUUCAAUUUUCAUGAUUUUUGGGCGCCUAUUUUGCGUGCUGCGGCCAUCUGUACCAAAAUGAAGCCAAAUUAGGAUUUUUACUUAAUAGCUUUACGUAGACUCUUCGUUUCACCGAACCGAGUCUUCCAACGCGUCGGGAAUACCUCUAAUUAGGUUUCUAUAAGGUCAAUUUGCCUUGGAAACAACCUAGGACAAAAGCCCCAAUUUUGGUACCCUAACAAUGUCAUAUUGCAAUUUUUCUUGAAUUGAUCUUAGAGCUAAGGAAGAACAAGCUUAGAACUAUCUAAGAACUUUUCUAAAACCAUUUCUAAGCCAUUCCAAACAUUCCUAGGGCAUCUAACAUGAACCCUAGCAAACUACCAUGUGAGCACUUGAGCAAACAUGAUUUUCCAUGUGUUCUAUAGUCUCUACAAGGUUUCUACACAUGCAAGAAGAUUAAAUCCAAAAUAUUUGGGGCAUAAAACCAAGCCCUAACAUCAUUCUUGCAUAAAACCUUACCUUGGCGACUAGCUCUCCAAUGUCCACCUUGUAGGAGAGACCCAAACCCUUCAAACGUCCAAAUCUCCUCUUAAUCUCCUCCAAAUCCUCCUCUAAUCCACCUUGGUAGAGAGCUUUUAGGGAGAGAGAGGGAGAGAAAUGUGAGAGAAGGGGUGUUCUCAGCUUGCUGUGAAGAGAAGGGGGUGUUGGGUUCUUAUAUGGGCUGUUACAAUUGCAGCUAGGCCCUCCAACUCUCGAAUUCUGUAGCAGGCUGCGCCUGCAGUCCACGAUGCACUGUAUCGGUACACGAAAUCCUGUCACUGGUACACAGCCUUUUUCUACUCAACCCAAGAGCUACUUCUCUCGGUUUUACACUAUGUACCGGUACACUUUUGAUGUUAAACCGGUAACACAACUUCAGAUUUCAGAUUUUCGUAUCUUUUCGAUUCUAUUUCGCUCGGAUAAAUGCUAAAACCCUUCUAACUCUUUUAAACUCAUUUUAAACUCUUCCAACCUUAUUGAAAUACUAAUUGGAACUUGUCCAACCAUCUCUUUCGCAUACUUUAGUCGAUUUGACUAAGGCUCGAUAUACUCAACCGAGUUUCGGUAUAUUACAACUGUACUUUGUACUUUUCUCUUAAGUUGUAAUAAGGUUUUGUGUUGUAUAAGUUUAUAAACUUUUAGUUUUGCUUUGAUUACCUGGUUAAGACAUUAUAUUUUACUAUAUUGAUUGUAGACGCUUUGUGUACACAUGAGGUUGUAGUGUACACGGCGGGUCUGUACACGUGACUGGUCAGCUUCCGCUGAAGUCCAGGGCGUGACAUCAACUAUAAUUUUUAUGAAUUGAAAACCACAUAAAUUCUAUUUUUUUUUAAUUUCCAUUUUUAUACUUAAUCACAUCAAAAUAAACAAAGAUGAUUAAAAAUUAUUAAAUUUGGUAAAAUUACUAAUAAAUUUGAUAAAAUUUAUAAAGUUUUCCACUAAAUUACUUCAGUCCAAAAAUUAAAUUUAGGAGGUCACUAUACAUUUUUACUAGAAAAAAAAAAUUUGGUAGCAAGUGCGAAGACCCACUCAAUUAUUAGGAUUCUUUAAAAUAGACCCCUCAAAUUUAUAUGGCCAAUUUGCAUUAAAAGUCCACAAAUUUUGAGCUUUUGUAAAAUUAGGCCGUCUUUUUUCGAUAUUGCAGAUUCGGUCCGAAUUUCCAGCAAACUGACCAAAAUACCCUUAUUACUUUUUCUCUCUCCUCUUUUUUUUCUCUCGUUCAUUUUUUUUUCUCUCGUCGAAGAAGGGAGCAGAGGCAGAGGCGAAGGCGGAAACAGCCCGCCUCGCCUCUCACCCUUAUGGCCUCGCCCUCGCCCUUGCCGUCGCUCACCCUGCCUUCCUCGCCUCCGACCACGCCGAGGCCGCGCCGCGACUCUUUUUUUUUCCCCUCUCCGACCCUCCUCCACCGUCUCGGACGACGACGCCCCUCUCGCCCUUCCCCGCCUUUUUCGUCCUCUUCCUCUCCCUCCUCCUUUACCGCCUCCGACGACGACGCAUCUUCGCCAACGCCGAGGUCGCUGCUUCGCUGCAACCUUGAUGAGGUGAGGGGGGGAGGGAAAGGGGGGCGGUCCUUAGCGGCAUCGUCGCCGGCGCCGUGGCCGUUGGAAGAGAGGAGUCACCAAAAAAAAUUGUAGAAGAAGAAAGAAGAAAAACUAAAGACAAAGGAUUAUAGAAAAAAAAGAUGAAAAUGAAAUUGCACUGUUAAAAUAAAAUUACAGUGUUUUAAAAAACGUUGCACUAUUAUGAACAUAAGUUGCACUACUUAAGAGGUAAACUGCACCCUUUAAUAUAAAAAUUACACUCUUUAAAUAAAAAUUGCACUAUUUGGGAAGUAUUUAUACUGUUUCUCCUCUUAUUGCACUCUUUGAGAUGUAAAUUGCAUCCUUUAAGAUGAAAGUUACACUCUUUAAACGAAACUUGCACUCUUUGAAAGAUAUUUAUACUUUUUCUUCUCUUGUUGCAGUGUUUGAGAUGUAAACUUGAGUAAUAAAAUGGACCAACCUACAGAGGGCACCAGUGCCCAGACUCGCUAAGAUAUGGAAGCCUAAAAUAAUUGGCUUAAAAAGGAUCGCAUUGCUCGCAUCACGUUACUGAGCGGUAUGCAGAAUGAUCUGUUAUGCGAGUAUGAGCAGUACCCAACUGCGCAUAACAUGUGGGAGGCUCUCAAAGCUAAAUUUGGUGCGACUUCGGCCACAAGGUUGCGCAGUCUGACUAUGCGGUUUGACAGUUAUAAGAAGCGUGCCGAUCAGACUAUGAAACAGUACGUGAGAAUAAUGUCAAACAUGAAUCGCAAAUUAAAGUCGACUGGCGGCAUCUUGACAGAUGAGCAGCAGAUCCGAGCUAUGAUUCGUUCACUUCCCAAUUCGUGAGAACAUAUGCGAGUAAAUUUGACACAUAAUGAAAGUGUCGAAACUUUUGAGAAUGUUGUGCGGCAUCUGGAGUUGGAGAAGUAGCGCCUUGAGGCUGUUAAAACCGCAACUGCCAAUGCUGUUGAGUCAAACUUUCGUAGAACAUUCAGAUUCAAGAGAAAGAGUACUACUAGGCCUCAAAGUCGUAGCGAAUUUGUACUUAAGAACAUGAAGAACACUAAAAAAAAGAGAAGCAAACGACGUGGCAAGAAGGACAAGUCAAAGAUGACCUGUUUGAAUUGUAACUAGCUGGGACACUUCGCUCGUGAUUGCACUAAGCCGAAGAAGGUACCUCUUUAUCUUGAUUGUCGCUCUUUUGUUUCUUCUAGCACGUUUAUUGCUGAAUCUCUCCCUGUGUGGAUUGUAGACUAAGGAGCAACAUAGUACAUAGCGAGGGAUCAAAUGGGAUUCGUUGAGUACCGUCGUGUGCCUGCUCGGAGCAGAAAAGUAUACAUGGGGAACGAUUCAUGUCGAUGUAUUAGGCGUUGGCACAUACAAGUUGAUCAUACGAAAUGGUCGCACUUUGUACCUUCAUGAUGUAUUUUAUGCUCAAGGAAUUUGGCAGAACUUGUUUUCCAUUCUUGCUAUGCUCCAGUUAGGCUUUUCUUUUAGUUUUGAGAAUGAUAUAGUUAAAAUUCAUCUUGGAACUAUUUAUUAUGGAAGAGAUUUUAUUUCAGAUGGUUUUAUGAUUUUGGACAUUGAUUAUAAUAAUAAUAAUAGUGGUUCAUUUUUCUUACUAUCUUCUAUUGAGGAUGAUCACAGUGUUUCAAUUAAAUGAUAUACACGUCUUGGUCAUAUUGGAUAAGAUAGAAUGACUAGAUUAAUUAGAGACAGGCUGUCACGCCCCGAUGCCGCUACCAAUUUGGUCCGGUUCGGGCGCGUCGAACAGACGCCGAACGGACAGCACCUCUCCUGUCCGCCCAAGGCUAACAACCAGAUCAUGUACAAACAAGCGCCCAGAAAUGCUUAGAUAACAUACAUGAUCGAACAUAGCGCACACAAGUGCAAUCCAUCUAAGAGCAAGAACCACAAGUAAUAUACUAGUGUAUAAAGAGAGAUAGUCUAACUAUUACAUUCAUUCAAUAGUUACAUCAUUUGAUUUCAUUACAUUUUUCAUCUACCAAAAUGUAAAUACAUGUUUCCUCAAAAUACAAAUAGCUCUCCCAUGUCUGUCCAAACAUCAUCUAGUACACGAGGGUACUCUAAUGCAUAAAGGAAAAGCUACCACUAAACUCACUUAGGGCGCUAUGCCCUUACCGCGGUCCUCGCUUGACUCGCCUCUGUGUGUACCUGUACCCCAAAACCACACGGGGUGAGAACUAUAUAAAUAUAGUUCCCAGUGGGUUCGGCCGCCGACGCCGCCGGUUUUCCCACUAGGUCUAAGCUGGCACAGAUAGAGAGAUAGAUAGAUAUAUAAAGAUAAACUGCAACUACUCUAUCAUGCCACCAAUGAUAAUAAUGCAUGCAACAACUACUAUCAUGCUAGUAUCAUGUCAUGAGUAUAUAAAGGAGCAUAGUAAUGUAAACUACAACAUACACUAUGUCUACUCAAGGUAAUAAUGCAAGUCUACUAUGCAUUUCAUGUUUCUUACCCAAUUCACUUGGUUAACCCGAAGGUUAAACCCUCGACUCACUCUCAAUCUCAUAGGUGAGGAGAAACUGCACUCGCACACCGAGACCGUCUGCGGGACAACUACGUCUGCCCCUAGUGAAGUACUCCGGAGACUCGUGCCUCGGUGGAGCGACCACCGACAAGCAAAAACAGACUAGUGAGUAUGAUCCAAUCCUCACAAGAGGAUACCCUGUCUACUAGGGUCAAUGUGCCUCUGCUGCACAGUCAUGAUAUAUAAUCAAUGUUGGGACUUCUACUAUCCCUAGGUUCAUGUCAAAUUUACUACACUAGACUCGAUGCCACUCGUUCGAUCAUUGUAGUAAGUUUUCUAUUAGUUGACAUGCCACUCGUUUAAUGCCACUCUACUGGGCUAUCAUAUGUCCAAGUUCGGCUCUUUAUGCCGCUAUAGGAUUCUAUGCCAUAAGACCCAAUCCUCAUGCUACCCUAGUCUAGGUGUUCAACUCAUAAGUACACUACUAAGAAGCAUGCAAGGAAAAAGAAAUAUACAUUUAUUAAUCCUAUAAUGCAAUAUGAUCAACACAUAUGUAACUUAGACAUAAAAAGAAACCCGGAUGUUCCGGAACGACACCCCCCACCUUUUGCGUAUAAGGAGGCUCUAGAAGUGCGCUUCGGCGUCCUUUACGACGAAGCCUCGGUCUUCUUGGUCCAAAUGAUGCUCAAUCGGCCUUAUUUUGCCGAUAGCUCUUGACCCGCUCGACGAAUCGAAAUUCCGACUUCGCCCCCGCGUUUAGGCACCUACCAAUUAGGUUUACAAGGCCUCAAAUGAGAUCAAUCCCAUACUUUACCGAAAAACCCUAUUUUGGUGCCCUAGGGUUAGCAUCAAGCUAAACCCAUCUCAAAACCCUAGAUUCUAGCUCUAAUCCUUCCAUUCAUGGUGCUAGGGAUCCAUUUGAUCCCAUCCAAAGAGCUAAAACCCAAAAACCCCAAAUCUCACAAGCUAGGGUUAGAAGCUUACCUCUAGGUUAGCUUAAAAGAGAGAAGAGAGGAUGAGGGAGAAGUCCAAAAGCCUUCUUUUGUUGAUCUCCUUCUUCUUCUCCUUCCCUUUCUUCCUUCUUUCCUUCUCCUUUCUUCUUCUUCUUCUUUUCUCCUUCUUUUCUAGAGAGAGAAAGCAAGAGAGUGUGAGGGAGGGAGAGAGAGUGAACUGAGAGAGAGUGAGAGGGAGAGAGGGACUAAUAAGCCCUCUAAUGUAACAAUAUCCAGCUGGCCCCCUCCACUUUUCACUCUGUGCACAGCCCUCACUGGGCGUUCUGCGCGCGGAGGGACCGGUCUCCCCGACUUGGGACCGGUCCCCGAGAGCUUCAGCUCGGGUCACGCGUUCGGGUACCGGUCUCUCCCAGAGAGACCGGUCCUCGGGAGACCGGUCCUUGCCUGUGAGACCGGUCCCCGAGAGCAAUAUUUUCAGGACUUAGCCAAAUUUCUGGCUUUCUCGCUGGGAUCACGUUCGGGGACCGGUCCCUCGCUGCCAGGGACCGGUUGCCUCAAGCAACCCCGCAACACCCACUGAUGGGACCGGUCCCUCCCUGCCAGGGACCGGUCCCCGAGAGCAGUUUUGCUCCAGUGCAGAUUUCGCACCAUUUGCUCUCGUGGACUCGUUUCCAAUGCACUUUUGGUGAUUUUAACAUCUUUGGCUUUUCCAAAGCUCACCAACACGACCCUUGGUCGAUUCUGAAUGAAGUCUAAUCCUCGUAUUUCGAGAAUUCACUUCCUCACACAGGCUAUUGAGCUCGCUCGCUAAAGUCGAUGUAAGGAACUGAAUUCUCGAAAUUCGAAAAUCGGACUUCGCUCAGAAUCGACUAAUUGUCGAGUAGGUAUGCUUCGGAAAAGCCGAAGAAUUCAAAAACUCAAAAAGUGCAUUGGCGAGGGCCUUAGAGAGCAAAGGAAUUGAAAUCUGUAACUUUGCAGAUUUUGCUCUCGGGGACCGGUCCCUGGUGGGAGAGAUCGGUCCCCGUAAGCAGAAAGUGCGGCAGAAAACUCUGCGCGUGAUGUUUGCUCUCAGGGUCCGGUCCCUCGAGGGGGGACCGGUCCUUGAAGGUCCGGUCCUCCAGGCGAGGACCGGUCCCCGUACGCGUAGAAGCUGGCUGAGAGCCUCUGCCCGCAAGGGUUGCUCUCGGGGACCGGUCCCUUUAGAGACAGACCGGUCCCCGAGUGCGAAAACUGCCUAGUCUGGGCAGUGUGAGAAAAGCAAAGUGGAGGGGCUAUUAUGCAAUUAUUGCAUUAGUUGGGGGUAUAGAGGGGAGAUCACUCUCUUCCUCUCUCAUUUUCUCACCCAAACAUAUCUCCCUCUCUCUCUAAGCUCUCUCUCCCUCUCUCUUGAAGUGAAGAAGGAGAAGAAGGAAAGGAAGGAGAAGAAGGAGAAGCAAGCUAGAGAAUGGCUUUGGUCAUCCUCUUCUUCCUUUCCUCACCAUUGGAGCAAGUUUGGAGGUAAACUUCUAAGCCCUAACAUUGUAGAAACCUAGGAUUGGGAUUUCUUGCUCUAGAAAUGGUUUGAUUAGAACUCUAGCAUGCUUAAUAGAUGUUUAAUGCUUAAAGCUAGAGAUUUGUUGGGGCAUUUUUGCAUAGAUGUAAACCUAGGGCUCCAAAUUGGGGCUUUGCUUAAUAGUGAGGUUUGAUCUCAAUUGAUAGCAUCUAAACCUAAUUGCUAGGUGUCUAAACGGGUUAGCGAAAACGGAUUGACGAUUCGUCGAGUCGUUGAAAAGUUAUCGGCAAAACAAGACCGAUUGGGAUUCGUUUCCACCUAGGAGGCCGAGACGACAUCGAAGCAAGUGCCAAGUAGCAUUCUUAGAACCCCUAUAUCGUCGAAAGGUGGGUGGUGUCAUCCCGAAGCAAUCGGGUUCCUCUCUAUGUCUUAGCACACCAUGAUUGUUGCAUCUCUUGCAUGUUGCAUUGUAGGAUUGCAUUGUUUUCCAUUCCUUAUGCUUUCUAAUUGAUAUCAUAGUGUGAGUUGAAUGCUUGGUAUAAUGGAUAGAUAAGGAUUGGGUCUUGACAUUGAAUCCUAUAGUGCCGAGGAAAAGAGAUGAACUCGAUGGUUACCUAGUGACAUAAUGAGUGGCACAUGAUUGAUAAAUGAACAGAAUGAGUGGCAUCUAACUUAGUGUAAAGUGACACUAGUGCUUUGUGAACUUAGGGAUAGGUGGACUCCCUAGUGACAACUCAUGAACAAGAACAUAGUGUAGCUAAACACUUGCAUAUGAACAUUAGGAUAGGUGGAUUCCCAAGUGACUACUAGCCCUAGCGGAUAGAGUAUCCUUGAGUUGAGAGGAUGGAUCAUACUCACAGUCUGUUUAUACUUGUGGUGGUCGCGCCACACAAGUCGUCGUGCACUCCGGAGUUUGGCGCAAGAGGGGCAGAGUUGAUGUCCCGCAGACGGUCCUGGGUUUGAGAGCGAGGUGAGUCUCCUUACCAUACGGGAUGGCGAGGUGAGUCGUGGGCGAACCGGAGGGAUCGCCAAGGAUUGGUUGAACAAGAGAAUAGCAUUGUUAUUGAACAUUUGCUUAUUGGACAUUGUUAGGGGACAUAGUUGCAUGUUAGUAGAUUACUUGGUGAUGCAUGCAUACAUUACUCUUGAUUGGGCAUAGUAGCGUAGUUUUCUUACUAUGCCAUGUACCGCUUUCAUAUCUAUCUAUCUAUUUAUCUGCUUUUGCUCACUACAAUAGUUCUCACCCCACUUUGUUGCAGGGCCUAGUACGAGUACGCCGGGCGAGGACCGCGGCAAGGGUAUAGCGCCCGAGUAGUAGUUACAUAGUAGCUUUCCUUUUUGCAUUAGUGUCACCCUAUGUAUAUGAGUGACUUAUGUUGGUGAGGAUUGGAGAGCUAUUGAUGUAUUUUGGUGAUGAUCUAGUAAACAUGUAUCUAUUUUGGAAAGAUGUAAAUGUAAAUGAAUGCAAUGUGAUGUAAUAGCUAGUAGAUCUCUCUUUUGUUCACUUGUAUGCACAUGUGACUCUUGCUCUUAGUUGUUGGCACUUGUUAUGCCCUUCAUUGAUUGUGUAUGUAAUAUACCGAAACUUCGGUAAAAGUUAUCGAACUUUAGCCAAAAUGGUUAAAGUGCGAAGUUGGGAUGUUUCGGAAAGGCCGAAGGCAUCUAAAAUGCAAAAAGUGCAUUGUAAGAGGUCUUCGAGAGCAUUCAGAGUGAAAAUAUGCAAACUGCAGUUUUUGAGCUCUUGGGGAUCGGUCCCUGGUGGGAAAGACCGGUCCCCGUACGUGUAUGGGGUGCAACAACCAAUCUGCACCAAAAAUGUGCUCUCGGAGACCGGUCCAGUCCCUGAAGGUACGGUCCCUCGUGGGAAGACCGGUCCCCGUACGCGUGAAAUUGAGCAGAAAGGCUGCUCUGCGAAAUGGUGCUCUCAGGGACCGGUCCCUACUAGGAAGACCGGUCCCCGUGCCCGAAAAUGGCCCAGUCUGGGAAAUGCAUUGAGGUGAGAGUUGAGGGGCUUAAAUGCAUUUAUGCAUUGUGUGGGCUAUGUAUGAGGGGGUAUGAGACAUUUCUCUCAUUUCUCUCCCUCACAAACACUCAAAGCUCUCCCUCUCUCUCUAGGAUAUCUCUCUCUCUCUCAAGGUGGAGCAAGAGGUGGAUUUGGUGGAGAAGGAGACAAAGAGGUGGAGUAGCUUCUUCUUCUUCUUCUUUAGCUCAAGUAAGGAAGCUUUUAGAGGUAAGCUUCAACCCUUUCUCAUGGUAGAACCCUAAGAUGGGUUUGAAUGGACCUAGAAAUGGUUUCGAUGAAAUCCCUAGGGGUUAAUAAGUUUUCAUUUUGCUUAUGGUAAAGAUCAAAACAAGGGUUUUGUAUAUGUGUUGAAGGUAGGGCAUCCAAAUUGGGGCUUUUGCAUUGGAUGGUUCUAAAGGCCAAUUGACUUAUAGAAACCUAAUUGAGGGUAUUUUCCACACAUUCGUGCGCUCAGUUUGUCGAAAUAAAAGGUCUAUGUGAAGUUAUGAGCGAAAAAGCCUAAUUUGGCUUUGUUUUGCCGCAGGCAAGGAAAUAGGCGGCUAAAAAUAGUGAAAUUCGAACCCGAGCACCUUAGCAAGCCUACGAGGUGGGUGGUGCUUCCGAAACUCUUUGGAAUUUUCUUAAUGUCUAAUGUGUCACUCAUUGAGCAUAUAUACGUAUUGUUGCAUGCAUAGUAGGGUGAUUGUGAUCGUAAUUGUAUAAAUUGUUGCAUGUUGUGAGUACAAAUGUAUUAUGAGAUGGUUGAGAACCUAUGAACCCUAUGUAUGCAUGAGAUGUGAUAUAAAAACCUAGUUGGGGCAAAGAACAAUGUGACACAAUGACAUGUAGAUCGAGUGGCAUUAGUAAAUGCAAUGAUGAACACUAGAGUUAGUGUGUGGCAUGAAUAUGAACAUGAAUGCUAGAGCAUUGGAACACUAAAGUUAGUGUGUGUGGCAUUUAGAGAACAAAAGUGGCAUUAAUGAAUACUGAAUGCUAGAGUUGAGAACAAAGAACAUGUAGUGUAAAUGACACUACAGAAAGUAGAAAAUGCAAGUGCAUGUGAGAGAUUUGCAUUAUGACAUAACAACCUUAGAGUUAAGGGUCAUGAAUGCAUUGUUUUCUUAUAGUUAAGGAAUAGAUUGAAUUUACAUCCUUAUAGUUAAGGAUUGGAUCAUACUCGCCUUAAGUCCUUGCUCGGAGGGUGGUAGCUCCCCCUCAAGCGAUGAGCUCCGGAGUUGUCAUCACUGGGUUGGUGCUGUUCCCCAGAGGACGGUCCCGUCGGGUCAUAGUAGUCUCCCCGACAAUUGGGAUUAUGAGUUGGUGAGUUGCUUAGGGGCGAAAACUACGGGUUAGCCAUGAGAAUGAGUACGGAGAUUGAGAUCUUGCAUUCAUCAUGAAUAUCUGUUGAGCAUAAUCAUUGAUUAUUAUUUGUCAGGCAUAUUAGCUGCAUUGUUUAGUUUGGUUACUACCUCUCUCUAUUGUUCUAUUAUGCUUGAAUUAAACCUAGUGGAAAAGUCGGCGAGCUUGGGCUAGAACCCACUGGGAACUUCGUUGUAGUUCUCACCCCACUAUUUCCACAGAGCGGGGACCGAGCGAGCCGGCGGACGACCGCGGUAAAGGUAUCGCGCCAUAGACAGUGACCACCCGAGUCGGAUUUCAUAUUUUGUUAGUAGCAUACCCUUACAUCAUCUUUUGUAUUUGAUGAUUAAAAAUGUUAAAGAAAUGAAUGUAAGCUUUCUAUUUUGAAGAAAUGUGAUGUAAAAAGAAAUGAUGAAAAGCAUGUAUAUGGUAAAAGAAUCGUGAAUGUAAAGGUUGAAUNAGCUUUCUAUUUUGAAGAAAUGUGAUGUAAAAAGAAAUGAUGAAAAGCAUGUAUAUGGUAAAAGAAUCGUGAAUGUAAAGGUUGAAUGCUUGUAAAUGAUUUAAAGAUAAUCAUUCUAUUUGUAUGAUGUUUAUAUUAGUAUUCUUUCACUCUGACUAUUGCUUACCCUCGUGUAAGCCAUUAUGUAUGUUUCCGUUUGUGCAUUCUCUUUGUUUGAAUUGUACAUGUGUUGAGCCUUGGGCGGACAGGGGAGGUGCUGUCCGUUCGAUGUCUAUUCGACGUGUCUGGAUCGGCCAAAUUGGAUCGUGCCCGGGCCGUGACACAUAUAGUGGUAUCGGAGCCUAAAGUGAAAGAAUAGGAAUGGACCUAGAGACCCUUAGGAUUGGAAAACCUUAAGGAUCUAGGGAACAUGAGCGACGUUGGAUCAAAGUUAGCGAAAGCAUGUGAUUGGGUCAAGUUGGGAUGUCUCUAAUGUGAUUAGGGACUAAGUUUGAAUUGAUGUUUGUCCUCUACUCCUUGUGUUGUGUCGGGCGGCCGACGACAUAAUGCUUUGGAGUGAGGAUGGAUACGUAAGUUUGCUUUCGCCGAAUUGGGUAUGGUUGAGUAAUGAUGGUCAUGUAGCUAAUGUGAGUUGCUUCAUUUUAGGAAGCAAUGGCUCGUGGUGGACCUCGAACAAGGUCGAUGCCAGAGGAGCCGAAUGCCGGGCCCGAGCAAUCCGGAGCAAGUGGUGACAGUGAGCUUCGGGAGCAAAUGGCCACGCUUAUCGGCGUGGUGCGACAACAAGCGGAGUCCGUUCAGCGCCAAGGGGAGCAAAUUCAAAGGCCCCAAGAGGCUUUGGAGCGGCAACAGGCAGCGGCGGCGCAAGUAGACGCUGAGCACCUUGCGCCCCCUGCGGUGGUGCCGAGUGUAGUCGAGGGAGUGGCGGCUGUGCCCGUCACGAUGGUGCCGGCCGGAUCGGGAGCCUCAAAUCCCGAUAGUGCGGCAAUGGAGGCGGAACGGGAGCGAGCAUUGGCAGCUCUCGUUAUGUUUAAGAAGUUCAAUCCAUCGAUAUUCGACGGAGACAAAGUGGAGCCGUCAAUGGUGGAGGCAUGGAUCGACUCGAUGGAGUCACUCUUCGAGGAUAUAUACACCUUGGAGAAGGAUAAGGUGCAACUCGCCACACAUUGUUUAGAAAAGGCGGCGAAAGUAUGGUGGAAGUAAGUAAAGUGGGAUCGAUCUUCCGAUCUUCCGCCUAUGCAAUGGGAGGAGUUCAAGAGAGCGAUAUUCGCGAACUACUUCCCUGACACGGUAAAGCGGAAGCUACAGGAGAAGUUCCGCAAAUUGAGGCAAGGAGAUUGCUCGGUAGCGGACUACGAGCAAGAAUUCUCCCAUAUUAUUGACUGCGUCCCGGAUGUGGUUAGAGACGACCGGGAUCGGGCCGACUGGUUCUUGCGAGGACUUCAGCCGGGACUUUAUAAGGCCGUGCAACUGUUCAAGUUGACGACCUUUGCUGAGGUCUUUGAUAGAGCACUAUGGGCGGAGCAUGGCGAUGCCCACGUGCGCGAGGUUAUGGCCGAGUCAAAGGACAAGAGCAAGAAGCGAGCGUCGGGUGGUGCCAGGGGCCGGCCGAAUGCUAAGAAACCCCCUCGGUAUCCCCGACAACAGACGAGGAGUUGGAGACCACCUCGGUGUGUCAUUUGCGGCGACGAGCAUCGAGCGUCAGCUUGCCCACAACGAGAGGGAAGGUAUUUCAAGUGUGGCCAACCGGGACAUCUUAUCCAGGAGUGCCCGGGAUGGACGUCGUCUGCACUGACCGCGGCAUCAGCACCUUCUACCCCGAGACAGCUCGCGGGGUUACCACCGGCGAUGUCGUCUGGGCGCGCGUCAUCACCGCGUCAGUCGGAGGGGUUACGAGCACCUAGUGGACGGGUUUUCGCCACUAAGGUGGAGGAGCAGCCUGCAGCACCAGAUGUGUUGUGGUAGGUAUUAUUUUGAUCAAAGGCACUAGAGCUAGAGCUUUAUUCGAUACAGGUGCAUCUCAUUCAUUCAUUGGUGCAUCUUUUGCGAAAACUCAUGGUAUCGAAAUAGUGCAUAAUCACGACUAUUGGUGGGUCAAUGCACCGGAACAUUCAUUCAGUGUUCAUGAGGAGUGUUUGGCAUGUCCAGUUCAAAUAGGAGAUUGGAUUAUGCUGAUAGACUUAUUGGUGCUAGACAGAAUGUGGGGAUUCGAUGUAAUCUUGGGAAUCAAUUGGCUCUCCAAGUACUAUGCGGUCAUAGAUGGUGAUCACGUUUCGUGAGCCUAAUCAAGAAGAGUUGGUAUAUCGAGUAUGUAAAAGCUCGCGCUUCGCGGCGACCGUAUCGGCAGCGAGGGCGAGGAAGAUGAUCAAAGGUGGAUGUAAGGCCUAUUUGGCAACCAUCGUAGAUGCUCAAAGGGAGCACUCGGAACUUAUGAAUAUCCGAGUUGCGUGUGAAUUUCUGGAUGUGUUUCCGGAGGAGUUACCGGGAUUGCCACCAGACCGGGAGGUCGAGUUCGUCAUUGACUUGAUUCCCGGGGUGGCGCCAAUUUCGAAGGCUCUGUAUAGAAUGGCACCGGUGGAGCUAGUGGAGUUAAAAGCACAACUACAGGACUUGCUAGAUAAAAGCUUUCUGAGGCCGAACGUGUCACCGUGGGGAGCUCCGGUGCUAUUUGUGAAGAAGAAAGAUGGUACACCUCGACUCUGCGUGGAUUAUCGCGAGUUGAACAAAGUGAUAGUCAAGAACAAGUACCCGUUGCCAAGGAUUGAUGAUUUAUUCGAUCAGUUGCAAGGGUCAAAGGUGUACUCAAAGAUCGAUCUUCAAUCAGGGUAUCAUCAAUUAAAGAUUAGGCCGAAGGAUAUGCACAAAACGGUGUACCGUACGCGGUAUGGUCAUUAUGAGUUUACAGUAAUGCCGUUUGGGCUUACUGAUGCCCCGGCAGCGUUUAUGGACUUGAUGAAUCGAGUCUUCAGGCCGUUGUUGGAUCGAUGUGUCGUGGUGUUUAUUGAUGACGUGUUGGUCUAUUCGAAGAGUGAGGAGGAACACUAGGAGCAUUUGAGAACCGUGUUACAAAUACUCCGACACGAGAAGCUUUAUGCUAAGUUGAAGAAAUGUGACUUUUGGCUUACGGAGGUCACAUUCUUGGGCCACGUGAUAUCGGGCGAUUGAGUCUCGGUAGAUCCGAAGAAAGUUGAGGCAAUUAAAGAUUGGCCUCGCCCGACGAGUGUAGCGGAGGUCCGCAGUUUUCUUGGAUUCGCGGGCUACUACCGGCAGUUUGUGGAGAGGUUUGCCAAAAUAACUACUCCACUAACUCGCCUUACCCACAAAGGAGUAAAGUAUGUCUGGAGUGACGAUUGCGAUCGGAGCUUCGAGGAGUUGAAGAGCAGGUUGACGUCGACCCCGGUGCUUGCCUUGCCGACUUCGGGGGAGACUUUCGUGGUGUACAGUGAUGCUUCAUACAUCGGUCUCGGGUGUGUCUUAAUGCAAAAUGGCCGAGUGAUAGCUUAUGCUUCACGCCAACUGAAGAGUUAUGAAAAGAAUUACCCGAUUCACGAUCUUGAGUUAGCCGCGGUGAUUUUCGCGCUAAAGUUAUGGAGGCAUUACUUGUACGGUGAGCAUUGUGAGAUUUACACGGACCAUAAGAGUCUCAAAUACUUGUUCACCCAAAAGGAAUUGAACAUGCGACAGCGGCGGUGGUUAGAGUUGUUGAAGGGCUACGAUGUCACCAUACUAUACCGCCUUGAAAAAGCCAAUGCCGUAGCCGACGCGCUAAGUAGGAAAUCAGUAGAAAACUUGGCGACGACAAUCACAUCACAACCGUUAUUGCAAAAAGAGAUGCAACGGUUGGGUCUUGAAGUAGUAGCGCCGGGAGUGCCGGCAACACUUGCCAUGUUGGUAGUGCAACCGACCUUGUUGGAGAAGAUCAAAGAGCUGCAAGCUUCGGAUUCUUAUCUUCAAAAGGUGCGGAGUGAAGUUGAAAGCGGUAGUGCCGAAGACUUUGGCAUUGGGAUCGAUGGCGCACUUCGAUUUCGGAAUCGUUAGUGUGUGCCUAAAAAUGAUGACAUUCGAAAGGUGAUCAUGCAAGAAGCGCAUCAAUCUCCCUAUAGCAUACACCCGGGCGGCACUAAAAUGUACCAAGAUGUAAAAGCGCAUUAUUGGUAGCCGGGCAUGAAAAAAGAUAUUGGGGAGUUCGUGGUGCAAUGUCUUACGUGCCAACAAGUAAAAGCGGAGCGCCGGUUUCCGGCGGAAAAGCUUCAAAGUCUAUCAAUACCCGUUUGGAAAUGAAAAGAUAUUGCGAUGGACUUAAUUACCGGUUUGCCUCGAUCUCAAGGUGGACACGAUGCAAUAUGGGUGAUAGUGGAUCGAUUGACAAAAUCGGCACACUUCUUGCCGAUACAUACUACGUGGUCGGGAGACAAGCUAGCUCAAGUAUAUCUCGACGAGGUUGUGAGACUCCAUGGGGUUCCGGUGUCAAUUGUAUCGGAUCGAGACCUAGGUUCACAUCUCAUUUUUGGAAGAGCUUGCAAGAUGCAUUGGGCACACGGCUCGACUUCAAUACGGCAUUUCAUCCUCAAAGUGACGGUUAAUCGGAGACGACUAUACAAAUCCUUGAGGACUUGCUUCGAGCGUGUGUACUCGAUUACAAGAGUGGAUUGCAUGAUUUCUUGCCGAUGGCGGAAUUCGCGUAUAAUAAUAGCUACCAAGAAAAUAUCGCAAUGGCGCCAUUUGAAGCAUUGUAUGGAAGAAAGUGUCGCUCUCCUAUUCAUUGGAGCGACGUGGGCGAGAGAGUUGCUCUCGGCCCCGAUGUAUUGCGGGAGGUGGAGGAGAAAGUUCGCCUUGCCCGCCAACGGUUAGCGACAGCGCAAUCUGGCAAAAGAGUUAUGCCGACAAACGAAAAAAGGAUUUAGAGUUUGCGGUUGGAGACCGCGUGUUCUUGAGAGUAUCGCCCAUGAAAAGAGUAAAGUGUUUUGGGGUCUGUGGGAAGCUAAGUCCCCGAUAUGUUGGACCGUUCGAGAUACUAGAGCGUGUGGGUGCGGUGGCAUAUAAGUUCGCACUACCACCGAGGCUCGCGGGUAUUCACAAUGUGUUCAAUGUGUCAAAUCUCCGAAAAUAUAUUCGCAACUCGACACAUGUAUUAGAGUAUGAGCCUGUGGAGUUGCGUGAAGAUAUGACGUAUGAGGAGUACCCGGUGUGCGUCCUUGAUAGAGAAGAAACGAAGUUGCGGAGUCGCAUAAUUCCAUAUGUAAAAAUCUAGUGGAGCAACCAUGCAGUGCGUGAAGCCACUUGGGAACUUGAGGAGACUAUGUGGAGGAUGUAUCCUCACCUAUUCGAGUCGACAAGUUGAGAUAUGUAUUUAGUUUCACAGACGAAACUAUUUUAAGAGGUGGAGAAUGUAAUAUACCGAAACUUCGGUAAAAGUUAUCGAACUUUAGCCAAAAUGGUUAAAGUGCGAAGUUGGGAUGCUUCGGAAAGGCCGAAGGCGUCUAAAAUGCAAAAAAUGCAUUGUAGGAGGUCUUCGAGAGCAUUCAAAGUGAAAAUCUGCAAACUGCAGUUUUUGAGCUCUCGAGGACCGAUCCCUGGUGGGAGAGACCGGUCCCCGUACGUGUAUGGGGUGCAACAACCAGUCUGCACCAAAAAUGUGCUCUCGGGGACCGGUCCCUCAAGAGAGACCGGUCCCUGAAGGUACGGUCCCUCGGGGGAAGAUUGGUCCCCGUACACGUGAAAUUGAGCAGAAAGGCUGCUCUGCUAAAUGGUGCUCUCAGGGACCGGUUCCUAUUAGGGAGACCGAUCCCCGUGCCCGAAAAUGGCCCAGUCUGGGCAGUGGAUUGAGGUGAGAGUUGAGGGGCUUAAAUACAUUUAUGCAUUGUGUGGGCUAUGUAUGAGGGGGUAUGAGACAUUUCUCUUAUUUCUCUCCCUCACAAACACUCAAAGCUCUCCCUCUCUCUCUAGAAUAUCUCUCUCUCUCAAGGAGGUGCAGCAAGAGGUGGAUUUGGUGGAGAAGGAGACAAAGAGGUAGAGUAGCUUCUUCUUCUUCUUCUUCUCUAGCUCAAGUAAGGAAGCUUUUAGAGGUAAGCUUCAACCCCUUCUCAUGGUAGAACCCUAAGAUGGGUUUGAAUGGGCCUAGAAAUGGUUUUGAUGGAAUCCCUAGGUGUUAAUAAGUUUACUUUUGCUUAUGGUAAAGAUCAAAACAAGGGUUUUGUAUAUCUGUUGAAAGUAGGGCAUCCAAAUUGGUGCUUUUGCAUUGGAUGGUUCUAAAGGCCAAUUGACCUUAUAGAAACCUAAUUGAGGGUAUUUUCCACACAUUCGUGCGCUCGGUUUGUCGAAAUGAAAGGUCUAUGUGAAGUUAUGAGCGAAAAAGCCUAAUUUGGCUUUGUUUUGCCGCAGGCAAGGAAAUAGGCGGCUAAAAAUCGUGAAAUUCAAACCCGAGCACCUUAGCAAGCCUACGACGUGGGUGGUGCUUUCCAAACUCUUUGGAAUUUUCUUUAUGUCUAAUGUGUCACUCAUUGAGCAUAUAUACGUGUUGUUGCAUGCAUAGUAGGGUGAUUGUGAUCGUAAUUGUAUAAAUUGUUGCAUGUUGUGAGUACAAAUGUAUUAUGAGAUGGUUGAGAACCUAUGAACCCUAUGUAUGCAUGAGAUGUGAUAUGAAAACCUAGUUGGGGCAAAGAACAAUGUGACACAAUGACAUGUAGAUCGAGUGGCAUUAGUAAAUGCAAUGAUGAACACUAGAGUUAGUGUGUGGCAUGAAUAUGAACAUGAAUGCUAGAGCAUUGGAACACUAAAGUUAGUGUGUGUGGCAUUUAGAGAACAAGAGUGGCAUUAAUGAAUAUUGAAUGCUAGAGUUGAGAACAAAGAACAUGUAGUGUAAAUGACACUAAAGAAAGUAGAAAAUGCAAGUGCAUGUGAGAGAUUGGCAUUAUGACAUAACAACCUUAGAGUUAAGGAUCAUGAAUGCAUUGUUUUCUUAUAGUUAAGGAAUGGAUUGAACUUACAUCCUUAUAGUUAAGAAUUGGAUCAUACUCGUCUUAAGUCCUUGCUCGAAUGGUGGUAGCUCCCCCUCGAGCGAUGAGCUCCGGAGUUGUCAUCACUGGUUUGGUGUUGUUCCCCAAAGGACGGUCCCGUCGGGUCGUAGUAGUCUCCCCGACAAUUAGGAUUAUGAGUUGGUGAGUUGCUUUGGGGCGAAAACUACGGGUUAGCCAUGAGAAUGAGUAAGGAGAUUGAGAUCUUGCAUUCAUCAUAAAUAUCUGUUGAGCAUAAUCAUUGAGUAUUAUUUGUUCAGGCAUAUUAGCUGCAUUGUUUAGUUUGGUUACUAUCUCUCUCUAUUCUUCUAUUAUGCCUAAGUUAGACCUAGUGGGAAAGUCGGCGAGCUUGGGGCCGAACCCACUGGAAACUUCAUUGUAGUUCUUACCCCACUAUUUCCACAGAGCGGGGACCGAGCGAGCCGGCGGACGACCGCGGUAAAGGUAUCGCGCCGUAGACAGUGACCACCCCAGUCGGGUUUCAUAUUUUGUUAGUAGCAUACCCUUACAUCAUCUUUUGUAUUUGAUGAUUAGAGAUGUUAAAGAAAUGAGUGUAAGCUUUCUAUUUUCAAGAAAUGUGAUGUAAAAAGAAAUGAUGAAAAGCAUGUAUAUGGUAAAAGAAUCGUGAAUGUAAAGGUUGAAUGCUUGUAAAUGGUUUAAAGAUAAUCAUUCUACUUGUAUGAUGUUUAGAUUAGUAUUCUUUCACUCUGGCUAUUGCUUACCCUCGUGUAAGCCAUUAUGUAUGUUUCCGUUUGUGCAUUCUCUUUGUUUGAAUUGUACAUGUGUUGAGCCUUGGGCGGACCGGGGAGGUGCCGUCCGUUCGGCGUCUGUUCGACGUGCCCGGAUUGGCAAAAUUGGAUCGGGCCUGGGGUGUGACAGUGUAUGUAUAGAAUUUCAUUUCCUUGGCAAAUUCUUGUACAUGAUCUGGUUGUUUAGCCUUGGGCGAACUGGGAAGGUACUGUCCGUUCGGCGUCUGUUCGACGCGCCGGAACUGGACCAAAUUGAUAGCGGUCUCGGGGCGUGACAGUCGACCUGCCCACAUGUGAACAUUGCUUAGCGGGAAAAGUGACCUGAAAACCAUUUAAUAAAGCUUGUAGGGCAGAAUUUCCGUUACAAUUGAUCCAUUCCGAUAUUUGUGGCCCAAUGAGUGUGAGGGCAAGAUAUGGUGCUUUUUACUUCAUCACAUUUCUAGAUGAUCAUAUGCUCUUCGGUCAUGUUUAUCUGAUCUCCCAUAGGUCUGAAGCAUUGGAUUGUUUUAGACGUUACAUUAAUGAGGUUGAGAAUCGGUUAGAUAUGAAAACUAAAAUCCUAAGAACUGAUCGAGGCUGCGAGUAUCUAUCUGAAUAAUUUAAGAAAUUGUGUGAUGAAAAGGGAAUAAUCAGACAGUUGACAAUUCCUGACACUCUGCAGCAAAAUGGCAUAGGGAGAGAAGAAAUCGCACUUUACUUGACAUGGUUAAGUCAAUGAUGACGCAAGCAAAUUUACCUAUCUUCUUUUGGGGAGAUGCAUUGUUAACUGCUGCCUACAUUCUUAAUCGUAUACCCUCCAUGACAAUAUCUUUCACCCUUUAUGAAUUAUGGACAGAUAGAAAACCAAAUUUGGAGCACCUGUGUUCUUGGGGUUCGGCAGCUUAUGUACACAACACUUCUUGUACACAACACUUCUCACAAGCAUGAAAAGUUAGGUCCUAGAGGGAAAAAAUGUAUCUUCAUAAGAUACCCUGAGCACUCUAAGGGAUACGUGUUCAUCGAAAAGUAGCAAGAUGGAAGUUUGACUGAGAUUUAGUUACGAGAUGUUGAAUUUAUCGAGAAUGAUUUUCCUUAUAAAAGUGAGGUUCGAAAUAAAAUAGAGUUCCAUGAGAUGGAUGACUUUAGUAUUGGCGCUUCUAUUCGUUCAGUUGAGGCAGAAGAGGUGACUCCAAUACCUCCUAGGGAUAGUGGGAACGAGUUACCUUUAGAUAAGCAGUCUCAAGUUCGUAGGAAUGGGCAUUUUCCGUCGUCGUUUUGAGAUUAAGGGGGAAGCUUUCAUGGUUGCUGCACAUGAUGAUGAUGAGCCUAGGUCUUUCCAAGAGGCUCUCUCAUCACCUACUUAUAAAAAAUAUUUGGAUGCAAUGGUAGCGGAAAUAGAAUCGAUGAAGUCAAAUCAUAUCUGGGAUUUAGUUAACUUGCCACCAGGGCGCAAAACAAUCAGGAAUAAAUGGGUUCUCAAGAUUAAGCACAAGGCAGACGGUUCUAUCGAUAGGUACAAAGCUCGCCUGGUAGCAAAGGGUUUUACCCAACGAGAAGGCGCUGAUUACGAGGAAACCUUCUCUCAUGUCGUAAGGUUUGCUUCGAUCCGCCUAAUCUUGGCCAUUGUCGCCUAUUUGGAUUUGAAACUUUACCAAAUAGACGUUAAAACUGCAUUUCUCAAUGGAGAACUGGAUGAGUAGAUCUAUAUAGAUCAGCCUACUAGCUUCUCUAUAAAGAGUGGGGAGUAUAAAGUUUGUAAACUUCGACAAUCCAUCUAUGGAUUGAAGCAAUCCUCCAAACAGUGAUAUAUUCGAUUUCAUCGAGCCAUCACUGAAGAUGGGUUUACGAUGAUUGAAUAAAAUCACUGUUUGUAUAUUAAACGGUCCAAAGAAUAUUUUCUAAUCCUUUUCUUAUAUGUUGAUGACAUCCUAUUGGCCGGGAAUAAUAAGGAAAUGAUUGUCGCAACUCAAACGUGGUUGUCCUCUAAUUUUGAGAUGAAGAAUAUGAGUGAAGCGAAUUAUGUGCUCGGAGUCAAGAUCCUACGAAAUCGUUCAAAAAUAUUUUUAGGUUUGUCUCAAGAGACUUACCUAAAAAAAAUUUUAAAAUGAUUUCAGAUGCACAAUUACAAACCCAUUGACACUCCUAUUACUAAAGGUGAGAGUUUGAACGUUAAACAAUACAUAGAAACUUCUGGAGAGAAAAAUAAGAUUAAUCAGAUUCCAUAUGGUAAUGCGGUUGGGAGACUGAUGUAUGCUAUGAUGUGUACUCGGCCUGAUAUAUGCUUUGCUAUGGGCCUAAUUAGCCGUUUUCAGUCCAAUCCGAGUUUAGACCACUGGAAGGUUGUUAAGAGAAUACUUCGUUAUCUCAGAGGUACAAUAGAUUAUGUGCUGUGUUAUCAAGGUACGGAUUUACGCCUCAUCGGUUAUAGCGAUAUGGAUUGGGCUGGUGACCUAAAUGAACAUAAGUCGACCUCAGGAUAUGCAUUAUUUCUUGAUAAUGGCGCCAUAUUUUGGAAUAGUAAGAAACAAACCUCUGUAGCUCUAUCCACCAUGGAGGCGGAGUUCGUGGCGUGUUCUGCGCUAUUAAUGGCGGAGAAAGACAUGCACUUACUGAGAUUCUCUGUUAUAGCAUAUAUUUCAUACUACAUGCAAUGCUGGGCGACCAAAUAAAAAAGAUGAGUGAAUGGAUCCCUGCUUCCUCAUCGUGUGAGUUCUUAUGGACAUUAUUUUGAGACGAUGUCCUAUAUAUGUUAGAUGCCCUUAGUGACUUUUGACUCUGUCAUUAAGUGAAAGAAUUGGUGUUGCUAUUUUGGCAUGUUUCCUACAGCUGUGAGUGAUGCAACUUUACGGGGCAUUACUGGAAAAGCAAUCGGUUCUCAACUUAGUGGCAUGAGGGCUCAAGGAAGACUAGUUGAAUUACAUUCAGACACUUUGACUUAUUGUCGACAGAUUGUGUUGCUUUAGCAUAGCGAAACAAUCAUGAGUAUAGUGUUAUAAUGUGCACAAUAGAGGUUAGCAUGGCUCUUUAAGGGAUUAGAGAUGUUGAAUCUAAUGUAAUUCAAUGGUCUAAAAUAUCACGAGUCUAAUUUUUUCUUUUGAGGGUUGAUAUCUCUAUGCUGGCCGUAUGCAGUUUCUAAUAUAGAGCUCCCAAAAUGCAGGUUGACCCUACGGUCGCACUGUUUAUUCACUAUGAAUAAAAUCAAUAGUGAUAUAAUGUUAAGGAAGUGAUUACGAUGGCAUCAAUCCCGUCAUGUGCGAGUGGAAUAUGUUGGCAUUCGGUUAAAUUAAUCGGGUGUGUCCAUAAUCGGGCUCGAUCCGACGAUUAUUACGUUAUCUAAUUGGAUUAGCAUUAAUCUCGUUUUUAAAUUGAAAAACUAAUUAGAGAUAAAUUCUAAGCAUAUUAGGAUAACAAUUAUAAACCGAUUUGGCCUUAUCUCUUACGUACUUAUUAGGAUUUUAGAAUCCCUAAUAAAUAUACGGACAAUCUCACAUAAGAGACAAUAAGAAAUAUAACAAGAAAACCAAGAGAGAAAGGUAAAAACCAUAUCCUUCAUUAACCUAUUACUCUAGACGAUCUUAAACGGUGGAUUAGAGAUCGUGCUCGUUUGUAAUUCGAUCCAUCGUGAAUUUGGAGCGAUAGAAAACCUUCGUAGAAGAUUCAAAGACACAUGAAUCAACCUCUGCGAUCCGGGUUUGUUACGUUCUAACGCAAGUUGCUUUCGUUAAAAGGUACGAACGAAUAUUUCCGCUGCGUUUUACAUUAGUAAAGCAAUCAAGUAACCCUUUUCAAUAACACAAAUUGAAAUGUGCCAUAAAAAGGACUUCGGGAUCCCAUAGAUGAUCGAAAACCAACCAACAGAAUAUUGAGAGGGUAAAGAAAGAACGAAGAGAAAGAUGGGAAAAGAGAGUACGCUACAAACAUGGUGUUCCAGAGUUCAACAUCAAGUCAACACAGUAAAUAUACCCAAAAGGUUGGGAGGAGAUAAUAAUAAUAAUAAUAAUAAUAAUAAUAAAAAAAUUAAAAAAAUGGAAAGAGGAAGAAGAAGAAAGAAAGAGAGAACAUCCAACUCGAUUAUCUACCCAUCUGAGCCAACCUCUAUUUUUGUUCUGUGGGAGGAAAACAUCCAAACCAAUUCUCACUUGGUUCAUAAAACUACAGAACGUAGGAAAGAAAGACAAACAAAAAAAUCUAUGCUACAUUCCAUAAGCACGCUAUCAGAGCCACAAAAAGAAAUGUGGCAUCAUCACGGAAUAUACAGCUUAAAUCUGUUCGACAAAACAGUGGAAAUUUUUUUACAUAGGUACACUACUUAUCAGUUAAUUACAUAAUAUACAUUGGCCCUAGCAUAAGGCACAUACGCCAUUUUAAGAGAAGCUGCGUUUUAGUCCAAAGCUUCAAUUGAAACUGAGCGAAGACAAAAUUAGACACACCUUAACAACUUCUGAGUGAAGAAAGCAACCACUGGAAAUUUAGAAUACCAUCCCAACUUCUUCACUGAGCACAAAGCGUGGCAUUUCUAUUACACGGCUCCUCUGAAGGGAAAUAAGGUAACGUCAAUUUUAAAAUCACAACAAACAAGGAUUAAUCCUAGUUCCCUUCUUCCUGUAGUUAUUAAAACACAUUCAUAUGUACCUCACCGAAGCACCCAGCAUCACUUGAUGGUGAUAUAGCGGUUCGUCCCAUGCUUCGCCCAGUGGUCCUUGAGGUCCACGGGCAUCGAGAGAUCGUGACCUUCAGCUGCUACCCGGCUAAGCAGCUUCGAGAAAGCACUGCCACUCAUCUUCCUACCGCCCAUCCGAGCGUGACGUUUGUUGGCCAUCACUGGGAGAGGGUACAUGGACAGUGUCGUGGUGCAGCAUGACGACUGCCAACCGCCGUUCCCCCAUUUGUAGCAUGGGCGGAACUUACCUGUGCAGGAGCAAACAGGCACCGGCAUCGUCGACUCGUCGAAUGUCACCUGGUUCAACCCGAGGUCUUGGUCCUUCCACUCAUUCUUCUUCUUUACGCCACCACCUCCAUUGUGGUGGGUCUUUGCAAUUGUGACCUGACUACUAUUUAGAUCGUCACCACCAACCCUCUUGCUUUUCCUUUUUGAUGAUGACUUCAUGGAAGGGGAAGGAGCAGCCUGGGCUUUACUCUCUUUCCUAGUUUGCUUAGGUUUUCUGGCCUUCAUAUCAUUCUCCAAGGCGGCUGAUAUUGGGUAUGCCUCCAUUAUGUGCAUCUCUCGUACGUGGUCAUACGGUGCGUCUGAGAGUUGAGGCGGUGAAGGUUGAACAACGGAAAGGUUGUUGUGGUGUUGGUGGUUGUGCUGGUGGUUGUGGAGGUUCUUUGCAUUUCCAUUCAUCCCACUUUCACGAGCAAGCUCAAGGGCAGCGAUGGCAUCGUCGCGCUCAAUGAUGGCGCUAUCCCGCUCAGCUAUGGCAGUGUCACGCUGCAUGAUGGCCAUGUCACGCUCAGCCAGGGCAGCUUUCUUCUCAGAGAUAGCAAGGUUCCGUUCUUGGAUGGCGGUGUCCCGCUCGGUCAUAAGUGCAAUGAGUUUCAUUGUGUGGUGCUCCUUCAUCUGGUGUUGAGGCAUCAUCCACUGCAAUAUUGAACAAAAUUAGGAGCAUCCAGAAAAGAAAUCCAAGUAGGUUUUAUGGAAUGCUUUACUGUAGGCAGUCUGUUUACAGAGUGAUAGUUUGCUUUCCAGGCAUGCAACUUGAAAUUAUAUGGGAAUUGCAAUACAUUCCAUUUAAUUUACAUUGCUGAUUAAUCAGCACAGAUAACAAAAAUAUGAUUUUGAGUAAAAACUUUCAUACAAAAUAAGAGACUAAACAGCAGAAUAGAAGAUGAUAGGAAAAUAUAUAUUUGCAUCAGCGUAUAUUCCUCACAUUUGUAAUGGAACUCAAUACCAAAUUUCAAUCUGUUAGAAGAUUUUUGGCAUGCAUUAUUUGGACCACUUUUCUACUUAUGGUCGACCAUUAAGUACUUGAAAGCUCUAUUAUGGUAAACAAAAAUGGGCCUCCUGAGAGCAAAAGUAAACAUAACCGACUGGUUUUCUGAUCUCUCACCAACUUUGAGGUCGAAGGAGCAACAUUCUCUUCGGCCAACUAGAUUAUAUUGACUUAUCUUUCAUUUCUAAGCCACUCAUAUUUAGAAGAAGCACAUGAAUUUCUACUUUAAAUGUGAGAAAAGGGGAGUACAAUUUGUGUCGAGAUUGACCAUGACUAGUGUUCAAGCAAGAAAUCAAUUAGAUAGACGGACCUGAGAGAGGGUAGACAGCAAACUACAACUCAAUAAAGCAAGACCAAGUAAAUUUAUUCUUGCUAAUGUUGUCAGAAGACCAGAUAUCAGUUAAUAAGAAAAAUCUAAAAAUUUAUGAGCUAAUUAAUAGUGAAUAAAAAGAAACAGUUGGCUCAUGACCAUACCAAGUGGCAAAGGACGAUACAAAAAAUAGACCACGACGCCCUAAAAAAAAACAUCUUGUUUGCUUAAGCAACUUCACAAAUUAUAUUUAUCACAGGUCACUAUAAAUAAUUUCUAAGAAUAAUUUAUAGUCUCCUUGAAUUUGCUCAGUUUCUUGGAUAUUAAACAUCCAAAAUAGGAAAUAAACCUGUUCUUAAAAGUCAUUCAUUAUUUCUCUGUAAACCUCUCCUCUAUUACAGAUAGAACUCACUUCUAUAGUUUGAUAAGUAAACAAGAUCUAUACAGUUAUCAGAGUCUCAAACAUCACAUGGAUUCUCAUCCUUGCAAUAGUAAAAGAUGCCCAGCUAUAGAGCCAGUUAGCUCUCGUUUAAUCACACCCUCCAUGCAGCAUAUACCAGUAUUAACAUUGUAUAUCUACUCAACUUUUUCUUCUGUCCAGUUCUGAAGUUCGUUUCUCAAUAUUAAUUGGAAUGGUUAAUAAAAAUAUCCGCACAAUAUUUAUGUAUUUUCUUAUCUCUGCACCUUCAAAAGCUUAAUGUCACACACAUGCAAGACUCUGUAUCAUGUAUAAGCAACAGAGACCUUCCUCUAUGAUACCUCAAUACGUUCACUAGCUUCUGCUUUUAUUUCGAGGAAUUGGUAACAGCAUGUGCCCAAAAUAUUGUGGCUAAUAUACAAGUCUCAGAGAUGAAGAGUUGACGACAUAAGAAUGCUACAGCUGGAUAAAAAUUUUGCAACUCUAGUCAAUGCAUAUUUACUGAAAACCUAUGAUGUAAUAUUUAAAUCACAACUUAAAAGCAUGUUUUUUGUGCAAAAUUUUACAAACACAAGUGUAUGAAAUCACACUCAUCACAUGCAUGCAGGUUAUAUAACUUGGAAAAUGUUGCUAAAAAUGACAAAGAUGAAGAUAACUUGCAAAGAGUGUAGAAAUUAUCCCCUUUUUAUUGUGCCAAGGCUUGAUCUAUCAAAAUCUAGGACUUCGACUAAAGGGAUGGAAGAAAAAAACAUAAAGGGAUGACCGAUAAGGGCAAAAGCCCUAAUAAUCCACAAUGGGGCAAUGAUAAUAAGAUAUGAAAAAUACAAUUCAGACAUGUAAGUCAUGAAGACUGACAUUGAGAACAUUAUUUAUCAAUAAUCUCAGGAAAAUGAGCCUUAAUUUCUCAUUUUUCAGGCUAGCUACAGUAAAUUGGCUAAUCAAAUAAGGCCACCAACAACUUUAGGAAAAGAGGGUUCCCAAAUAUUGUAAAUCUACAAACUUAAAAAAUACAUACAUGUAAAAAACUACAAGAAUUAGAAAUGCUUAUAAAAUUCAGCUUCUUUCCUUGAUUAGGUCUGCUAAUUGUUGAAACCAAGUGUCUCCAGUGCACAUGUUAUAAUAUAUUGUGGGUGUUUGGCCCCACAGUUCGCCCGCAUUGGCGGCACGCAACCGCGCAUUUAUGAGCUUUUGAGAAAGCUCCACACGUGGAGCUUUCUCAAAAGCCACGCAGUGCGGCCCGCUCAUGGGCCACACCACAAGGCCAAACAGCCCAUUAUCAAACUAUUAAUAUACCAGUUGAAAUGCAUGUGUAAUGCACAGUUCACUUAUUUUGUGAAGAAGCUUAAUGCCUGCUGAUGUGUGCUUUCUACAGUCAAAAAAGCAGGUCGCAAGUAGAGUCAACUUGUGCACACUAACAUCGGAAGGCUGUUCAAGAAUAGAGCUGAUCUUUAAAAGCUCAACCUCAUAUUUGUACUUUACUAUCUUGUUACUUGUUUCUCAUUCCCUUUUUGACAAAUUGUGAAUGUCCUUUCGCAUGAGACUUUAUUACUCGUAGUGUAUUUAAGAAAACCUAUUCUUUAGCAUACCAGGAGAUUUUAUUUUUCUUUCCACAGACCAAAAUUCUUUGAUAUCUCACUUAUAUAACGUGAUCUAAUCAGCACUCAAAGACAAAAUAUAGUUAAUGAUGCAAAAGAAGAAUAUAUGUGUGUGUGUGUGUGUGUGUGUGAGAGAGAGAGAGAGAGAGAGAGAGAGAGUGAUCCGGCUAAGGAGAUUUUAGAAGCACCAAGGUGUUGGUGCUAUAACCUUUUUGGCAAGGAUUAAAGUGUUGUAUCGUGGCACAGGGGCGUGUCAGCUGUUGCCUAGCACAGUACGGCAUCAGCACGGUUGCGUGCCAACACAUGGCACUAUUGCGUGCCAACCGGCACACACAACCUCCUAAUGGCACGCUUUGACAUAGUUAUUUUUGUUUUUUUUUCCUCCAUAAAGCCCUAUAAUGUUAUAUCGAAAGUUUUAGGGUCAUAAUUAUAAUUUUUUGGCUAUGUAUUAAUUUGUCUCGAUCUAUUGGCAAUAAUAGCUCUCUACACUUACUAGUUAAUAACUUAAUAUAGUGGCAGUCUUCUUUAUAUAUGAAGAAAAAUAUAAAUAUAGCUCAUAGAGAAAAUUAUUUUUUCUUUGAAUUUUUAAGAAAAUUUGUAAGAUCCAUCUGUAUUGAUUCGAUAAAGGACCGUAUGAUGACGAGACUAACCAUAUGGCAAAUCAUAAAGAAAAAUUAAAUACCUAUUGCUCUGAUUUAGUUUUUGAUUUUAUUAGAAUUUUCAUGUUCCUAAAUCCGAUAAUAUAAUUUUCAAACUUAAAAAUAUCGUAAAUCUCAUAAAAAAGCUAAAUCCACCCAAGAAACUAAAAAUCGGACCAUAUAAUAACUACAUUAAGUGUAUCUAUUUUCAGAUUUUUGUAAAUUGUAAAUAAAAAUCUAUCUAUACAAUACAUAAUUUGACACCCCUUCAUGUGCCACGUGGCGCCCUCAUUCCACCUCCCUCAACAAUCUUAUCCCUUCUCUCUCUCUCUCUCUCUCUCUCUCUCUCUCCCCAUCUCAAUUUUAUCCUUUCUCUCUCUAUCCUCCUCCAAUGCCUCAUAAAGCCACUCAAAUCACUCUAUUUCUUUCUCUCUCUCUCAUAUCUUUCUCUCUCUCACACAUAUCUUUACCAUAUACAUCUCAUAUCUUUCCAUAUCUCUUCCUCUCUCUUGUAUCUAUCUCUCUAUUUCGAUUUUCUAAUUUUUUCUUUUAUUUUUUUGUCUUCCUAUCUCUCUUAUUUCUUGCCUAGUUAUCCAAGAGAUUUCCUGCAUCUCCUCUCCUGUAGCCCGUUGGCGGAACACCUACGAUAAUUUCCACUCAAGAGGUGGCGGCGGCGUUCGCGCUCUCCCCGGCCCCGUUCACGCUCAUCUGUGAUCAAGAUCACGGCAAGAUCGACAAGCAUAUCAACGAUCGGGACAAGGAUCGGAGCUUGCGAGAGUGCGAGCGAAGGGACGAACCGAUCACCCGCGAUGGUUCGCCUCCGCCAUAGGAGGGAUAGGUAUGAAGUUGAAGACAAAAUAUACCUAUAUUCAUUUCAUUCUCAUGAGAAGAUAGUGAGAAACAGAAAAUAUAUCCAUCAUGGGCACAGAGUUUAUGUAUGCAUGCAUAGCUAAGUUUCUUUUUUUUUGGUGUAGUUACCUCCUUUUUCCUUUUAUUUUAUCAUUUUUUUCUACUAAGUUUGAUUUCUUUUCUUUUUUUAAAAUCUUUGGCCUUAAUAUAUUUAAGGACUUCGAAUUAUUGGAGGGAAGGAUCUUGACUUGCAAAUUUUGUAUGUGCAAACAACCAAAAUAAGUUGCCUCGAAAAGGUUUGAAUUAAUUAUGUUAUUACUAAUUAGAUCAUCAGUACUGAUGUGAGGUAGUUAUAGUAAAAAUAUUUAUUUGUUUGUUAUUUUUGUUAAAAUUUUUUGAAACUUUAUGGAUGCAUAAAUUAUUUUGAUUCAACUAUCUAACCUUUAAGAAUUUAAAUUUUGUGCAUCUAUAAUUUGGCGGAUACGCCAUAUCAAAAAAAUGGUUUCGUCAUGGACCAAUAGAAGCUUUCUACAUGACCAAUAAAAUUUUGGACGCCCUAUUGCACCGUAAAGCGACUUUAAAAUGUGCAUUAAAAAUAAAUUUUUAUAGUGUAAUAAAUUUUUAAAAUAUUUUAUAUUACACAUAUUAUAUCAUAUUUUAUUUUAUAGUAUUAAUUAUCAAAUAUUCUAUAAUCAUCUAAUAUUCUAGCUGAUGUAUGAAGCAUUGGAAUGCACCAUAUGCACAAGCAUCCUAUUAAAUAUUCUAUACACCGGGUGUAUAUCUAUACAUACACCACAUACUUAAAACCCUUCAUUAGAGAUUUUAAAUUAAUUCAUCAAACAUAAUUUAAAUUAUUAGACUUGUAAUCAGAUAUAAUUAAUUAAAUUCUGAUAUUAGAAUAUUAGUCAUCUAAUAAAAAUUACAGUGUCACGCCCCGGAUUACACGUUCCCCGGGCACGCCGACAGAUCCGCCGUAUACAAAGAAAUUUUCCCUGUAUACGAAGCGAUAGCUGUACCUGUAAAUCAAACACUACUACGAACAGUAGUAGAGAGCUGCUAGAGAAAACUGAAGCUAAAUAAAACAGAGUUUUAU
Molecule: long non-coding RNA, 31082 nt
Filed under: Ananas comosus (pineapple)
Lineage: Eukaryota; Viridiplantae; Streptophyta; Magnoliopsida; Poales; Bromeliaceae
Description: long non-coding RNA (ACOM_LNC033296)
Source: RNAcentral